GUAUAUAUAGCUCAGUGGUAGAGUGUGUGCUUAGCAUGCAUGAGGUCCUGGGUUCAAUCCCCAGUACUUCCA
RNAcentral lists this transfer RNA (72 nucleotides) under Camelus bactrianus (Bactrian camel). It matches the Rfam family "tRNA". Rfam says of the family: Transfer RNA (tRNA) molecules are approximately 80 nucleotides in length. Their secondary structure includes four short double-helical elements and three loops (D, anti-codon, and T loops). Further hydrogen bonds mediate the characteristic L-shaped molecular structure. tRNAs have two regions of fundamental functional importance: the anti-codon, which is responsible for specific mRNA codon recognition, and the 3' end, to which the tRNAs corresponding amino acid is attached (by aminoacyl-tRNA synthetases). tRNAs cope with the degeneracy of the genetic code in two manners: having more than one tRNA (with a specific anti-codon) for a particular amino acid; and 'wobble' base-pairing, i.e. permitting non-standard base-pairing at the 3rd anti-codon position. RNAcentral also lists the same sequence under 2 other names. The record is from Rfam by way of RNAcentral. Lineage: Eukaryota; Metazoa; Chordata; Mammalia; Artiodactyla; Camelidae.